RNAcentral lists this ribosomal RNA (466 nucleotides) under Pseudonocardia sp. 15-082. RNAcentral describes it as "bacterial SSU rRNA". It matches the Rfam family "Bacterial small subunit ribosomal RNA", at positions 22 to 503 of the family's 1533-position model. The record is from RNAcentral. Lineage: Bacteria; Bacillati; Actinomycetota; Actinomycetes; Pseudonocardiales; Pseudonocardiaceae.
GCUCAGGACGAACGCUGGCGGCGUGCUUAACACAUGCAAGUCGAGCGGUAAGGCCCUUUCGGGGGUACACGAGCGGCGAACGGGUGAGUAACACGUGGGUGACCUGCCCUCCACUCUGGGAUAAGCCCGGGAAACUGGGUCUAAUACCGGAUAGGACCACUGAUCGCAUGGUUGGUGGUGGAAAGUUUUUUCGGUGGGGGAUGGGCCCGCGGCCUAUCAGCUUGUUGGUGGGGUGAUGGCCUACCAAGGCGGUGACGGGUAGCCGGCCUGAGAGGGCGACCGGCCACACUGGGACUGAGACACGGCCCAGACUCCUACGGGAGGCAGCAGUGGGGAAUAUUGCGCAAUGGGCGGAAGCCUGACGCAGCGACGCCGCGUGGGGGAUGACGGCCUUCGGGUUGUAAACCUCUUUCGCCAGGGACGAAGAGCAAUUGACGGUACCUGGAGAAGAAGCACCGGCCAACUA